AUCCCCAUCCAGACUUCUACAAGAAUCGGACUUCGCCUGAACUUUCGUAGCAGAUGGAUUCUGGACGAACUUCUACAACAGACCGGCUCUAGCAACUGGAUUUCUACAACGGUCGAUCACCUUCGGUGUCUGCCGUACCUCCCCAGCCAUCAACCCUCAAUAGUGUCUGUCGGACUUCAACAACACCAAUCAGACAUCCACAGGAUCCUCCAGACUCCGCCAGCGGACGAACCUCCCCAACGCCAUCCGAAGUCUACUGCUGGUCGACCCUUUGCCGAAUUCCUCA
This 286-nucleotide long non-coding RNA is filed under the name Elaeis guineensis (African oil palm). Its description in RNAcentral is "long non-coding RNA (EGUI_LNC082979)". Lineage: Eukaryota; Viridiplantae; Streptophyta; Magnoliopsida; Arecales; Arecaceae. The record is from RNAcentral.